Molecule: long non-coding RNA, 648 nt
Organism: Antechinus flavipes (yellow-footed antechinus)
Lineage: Eukaryota; Metazoa; Chordata; Mammalia; Dasyuromorphia; Dasyuridae
Exons: 3
Source: RefSeq, a predicted model, not a curated record
UAGACCAGUGAGACAAACAAGAUUUGGGGCAGAACUGGAGUCUUCCCGGACAACCUGAGAAGACCCAAAGAAAGACCCCAGGAUGGAGCUUUAACCCAGUCACCUGAUGAUAUCUGGAGAGCUGAAAGAAAUGAUUUCUACUAUUCUUCCAUUUCCAUGGGGGUCUUUGUGUUACACAGUGACACAAUGGUGUAACACAAGAAGGGGAUGACUUGAUUUACUCAUUUAACAGGACUCCCAUCAGAAAGAGGCCCACAGAGCUAUGCAUCAGACUAAAACCAUUAGAGAAAACAGAACACAUUGACCAGACUCCUACUGAGUUGGCCUUAACAACAAGCUGCACUGAAGAUUUCCAAGUAUGAUGAUCAAGGAAACCCAGUGACACGAGGGGUCACAGAGGCCAAAUCUACAUUCCUCCUGCAAAGCUAAAGGGAAAUUACCUUGGGGAUGGCAUAUGGCCCAGCCUACCUAAUUAUCUGGGAGGAAUUUCUAUCCAAUAUCUCCUAAUCACCAUCCAUGCUAAUCACAACAAAUUGAAAUUUAUCAGCCUCCAACACCCAGAGGCUGCUGGGCAUGUUAACAAAAACCAGGACUAAAAACAAUAUGUUCAACAAAAUAAAAAUAUGGCCUGAAACCCCUUUGCAAUAA